AGCAAAAAACUCCGCUCCAGCGCUUCGACGACGAGAAAGACAGCGACGCCGCCGCCGCUCCCUCCGCCCGGUACGUGCGCACGCUACACGAGCUGCGCCAGUUCAAGACUGCCGGGAACCCCUUCACGGAUGAGUUCUUCGAUACCUUCGACGCCGUUUACCAGCAGCAGCUGGACAUGCUGAAGAAGCUGCAGCAGCGCCAGCACCGGCUCGACAAGAAGGUCAAGACCAUCCAGGCGUGGCGCCGGGUGUCAAGCAUCAUCUUCGCGACCACGUUCGCGGCCGUGCUCAUCUGCUCGAUUGUUGCCGCGGUCAUCGCUGCCCCGCCUGUCGCUGCGGCAUUGGCCGCGGCUGCUGCAGUCCCGCUGGGAUCCAUGGGGAAGUGGUUUGAUUCGUUGCUGAAAGGGUGUCAGGACGCGGUCAACAGACAGGAGGGGGUGGUGAGCGAAAUGCAGUUUGGCACAUUGAUUGCCAUCAAGGAUUUGGAGAAUAUCAAAGUCCUCAUCAAACGGGUGGAGGAGGAAAUCAGCUCAAUGAUAGACUGCGUAGAGUUUGCAGAGCGGGAUGAGGAGGCGGUGAAAUUUGGGGUGGAGGAGAUCAAGAAGAAGCUGGAAAGCUUCAUGAAGAGUGUCGAGGAUCUAGGAGAGCAAGCAGACCGAUGUACCCGGCAUAUCCAUAGGGCAAGGACCCUUGUUCUGGGAAGGAUCAUCCGACAUCCAAACUGAAAAAAAAAACAAAAGGGAAAUGCAAGGGAUGACAGUGACGUGCAUGACAGAGUGUGUGGCUGAGACGAGCGAGCAAGCAAGCAAAGUGACCAGUACUGUGUCCUAAAGCAACAAGUAAUGCUCGUGAACUUAUGUGAAGAAGGAUUCAUAUAACUGUCAACUACCCAAAUCUCUACUGUUUAUGGCUAAGGCCACCAGAGUGCAACUCGACGACGAUGAAUGAAGCUGUACAACAACUCGACGAUGAUGAAUGAAGCUAUACAGUGAGAAUGUAUACACAAUGUUUGACAGAGCCACCUCAUUCACAAUGUCAUAUACUGCUGUACAGCUACAGAUGAUGACUUUAGCUAUUCAACUCGACAACAAAGCAGCUUGUUUGACAGCAAUUCACAAGUCAUAUACACAAUGUUUGUCAAGUUCUUAGCCAUACACAAUGUCGCCAACCAUCAAAAUAACCUAAAAUUCCAUAGAUAAUCAUGUCAGAGGUACAGUGAACUGUUUAGCUCACAAUUAGACAUCCAACGGUAACAACAGUGUUGGCGCCGAUUUGGUCACCAAAACACUAAAAUGAACCGUCUGGUGGUAUUGACACCUUUAGAUAAUGCAGGAUCAAAUAAAGUUGAAAACCUUUAGUAUUGACACCUGUUGGGGGCCUUCGGCUUCCGAAGGUCCUCAAAAAACAUGAUUUAACAGUGUUUCUAGAGUGUAAUGUGUGAACAGGUACCUUCGGACUUAUGUCAAAGAGGGAGAACCUCAAAAGAUACGAAGGUUGGCAGUGCCGAAGCUGUGAAGCAGGAAAGCUUCGGCAUGUUCGCAGAAAAGGGAACCGACUUAAAGAUGAAAAGGCCAUUUAGACCUCGAUAGAUUGCUAUGGAAUUAUCACCAAAUGUAAAGGGCAUGUAUGUAAUUUUGUAUGGGUUGUAUUCCGUGCCUAUAAAUAGGUGAACAGUACCCCCGUACUGUUCACGCUGACUUGGCAUUUGCUUUUGCGUCACGCUUGUGCUUUUUAUCUUCUCUCAGGACCGAAGGUACAUUUGUAAUCUAAAAUCAUUUCUAUUUUUCCAUGUCAAUAAAAUAGAAAUGAUUCUAUG
Molecule: RNA transcript, 1816 nt
Organism: Zea mays
Lineage: Eukaryota; Viridiplantae; Streptophyta; Magnoliopsida; Poales; Poaceae
Gene name: UPF0496 protein 1
Exons: 3
Source: RefSeq, a predicted model, not a curated record